CGGGAAUGCGGAUUAAAAGGGAAUCGGGUGUAAAUCCCGGACAGUCCCGCUGCUGUGAAGCUCUGUUUUAACAUCUUGGAACUACUUUUGCCACUGGCUUGUUAUAAUAAGUCGGGAAGGCUUCAGGAUGGGAGUCAGUCAGAAGACCUGCCGUUCAAUU
RNAcentral lists this non-coding RNA (160 nucleotides) under Parabacteroides massiliensis. The record is from RNAcentral. Lineage: Bacteria; Pseudomonadati; Bacteroidota; Bacteroidia; Bacteroidales; Tannerellaceae.